RNAcentral lists this ribosomal RNA (484 nucleotides) under uncultured bacterium. RNAcentral describes it as "partial 16S ribosomal RNA". It matches the Rfam family "Bacterial small subunit ribosomal RNA", at positions 30 to 507 of the family's 1533-position model. The record is from RNAcentral.
AUUGAACGCUGGCGGCAGGCCUAACACAUGCAAGUCGAGCGGAUGAAGGGAGCUUGCUCCUGGAUUCAGCGGCGGACGGGUGAGUAAUGCCUAGGAAUCUGCCUGGUAGUGGGGGAUAACGUCCGGAAACGGGCGCUAAUACCGCAUACGUCCUGAGGGAGAAAGUGGGGGAUCUUCGGACCUCACGCUAUCAGAUGAGCCUAGGUCGGAUUAGCUAGUUGGUGGGGUAAAGGCCUACCAAGGCGACGAUCCGUAACUGGUCUGAGAGGAUGAUCAGUCGCACUGGAACUGAGACACGGUCCAGACUCCUACGGGAGGCAGCAGUGGGGAAUAUUGGACAAUGGGCGAAAGCCUGAUCCAGCCAUGCCGCGUGUGUGAAGAAGGUCUUCGGAUUGUAAAGCACUUUAAGUUGGGAGGAAGGGCAGUAAGUUAAUACCUUGCUGUUCUGACGUUACCAACAGAAUAAGCACCGGCUAACUUCGUG